GAAUCAGUCAUUUAUCUAAGGAGCUUUCCUUGAAAAACACUCUUAGGAACCAAGGUCUGGUUGCUGGGGUGCUCACUGUUACUAGGGGAAUGUUGCUUCUAGGUUCUCUCAGUGGACAGAGCAAGGAGAUAUAUGUGUGUAUAUUAACACAUGUGUAUACACAUAUCUAUAAAUUUUUUUUUGAGGAAGAUUAGCCCUGAGCUAACAUCUGCUGCCAAUCCUUGUCUUUUUGCUGAGGAAGACUGACCCUGAGCUAACAUCCAUGCCCCUCUUCCUGUACUUUCUAUGUGGGACACCUGCCACAGCAUGGCUUGCCAAGCGGUGCCAUGCCUGCACUGAGGAUCCAAACCAGCAAAUCCCGGGCUGCCGGAGCAGAAAGUGAGAACUUAACCGCUGCACCACCGGACCGGCCCCCACAUAUCUAUAAAUAUUUUUCUAUCUAACAAUCUGUAUCUAUAUUAAGAUAAAUGGGAGUUCAUACUUAUAUGGCUGUUAACUUUUGUUGAAUAUAUUUUUCUAUCUGUUCUUCAACUUGUAUUAUUUCUAUUGAUCUGUCUUCAAGUUCACUGACUCUUCUCCCUUCUCCAUUCAGUCAUUGAGCUCAUCAGUGAAGAUUUCACUUUUAAUAUUUUAUUUUUUAUAGUCUCCAUUUGCUUCUUUUUCAUAAUUUCUAUUUCUCUGCUGAGAACCUCUAUCUUUUCAUUCAUUUCAAGAAUAUUUACCUUUACCUCAUUGAGCAUGGUUAUAAUAGCUGCUUUGCUUGAUAAUUUCAUAUCUGGGUGAUUUUGAAGUUGGAUCUAUUGAUUGUCUUGUCCUUUGAGAAUUGAUUAGACUUCCCUAGUUCCUGGUAUGUUAUUUUGAGUAGUUUGGGGUGGUAUCCUAGACAUUUUGCAUGUAAUGUUGUGAAACUGUGCAGAAUGAUAUUUUAUUUGAUUGUUUUUGGAAGCAGUUGACGCCGUUAUGCUUAGACUGUGUAUUUUGCUUGCCUUCUGUUGGCGGUUGUUCCAGUCUCGGUGCAGUUUUCAAGACUUGGCUCUGCUGUUUGUGUCCACAUCUUGCACACAUCACUCAGGGGUUAAUCUGGGGCUUGAGUGGAGGUUUAUGUUGUGGUUCACUUCUCAGAGACUUGGCUCUGCUUGUGUGGACCUCUUCUGUGCAUGUGCUGCUCCCCGUGAGCCUGGGACUCCGGUUAGUUUAUACACAGGUGUAAGUGAUGCCCUUUUCCAGUUCUCGCCUCUUCAGGAUUUAUCUCCAUUCUCAAACUUGCAAGGGCCUCUUUUACAUGUUUCUCUAAGGGUUUAACCCUUUGUGCUGUCAUGCGGUUGUGACCAGGUCAGCCUUUGAGGUGACAGAGUUAGCCAGAGAAAAGAGGCAAAAUCACUGGCGAUUUCCCCCACACUCUUCAGACAAUGGGAGGCCCUUCACCUCUUCCUUGGCCAGAGAGCCACGUAAUCGCUCAGGUGCCUGUGCCCCUGCUGAAACUGCAGUACCCAUCAUAACCGGUAUGGUCUUUGGGGUGGGCCAAGAGAGUAAAACAAAACGAAAUGAAACAGGGGUAGGCCCCACUCCCUGACACACAGAGGCAUCCCCUCCCUGCCGUCUGGCUAGAAAUGGGGGGCUUCUCCCAGUGGUUUGCUUCCAGAGCCUGCUGUGCAGUCGCAGGAUUCCACUCACCCUCGGGUGACAGCAAGGAGAUGAAGGCAGAAAAGCAGCCACUGUAAUCGCCCCUUACAGGUGGUUAUUCACAUUUUUACUUCUGUCCCCAUUUGUAUGGCAUUGUUUGCUUUUUCACUUCUCUAGAGUGUUUUAUUUGUAAUCUGCCUGCAAGAGAGAUCAUUUGUAAGGAUCUUGCUCUAUUUUGGCUGGAAACAGAAGUUUAUAAUCACUUCAGAAAUAAAUUUUUUAUGGAUACAUAUGUAAGAAAUGUUUUACAGUUAUUUAUAAAUAUUUUAAAUGCUACCAUUAUAGACCAAAAUGUUAAUAGUGCUUACCUAUAAGUAAUGCCAUUCAUUUUGUAAUUUUCUGUAUUUUCCCAUAUUUCUGUGACUAUAAUUGUUUUACUUGUCUCAUUAAAAAAAACUUAAAG
This is a long non-coding RNA of Equus asinus (donkey), 2086 nucleotides long. The record is from Ensembl. Lineage: Eukaryota; Metazoa; Chordata; Mammalia; Perissodactyla; Equidae.